GAUCAUGGCUCAGGAUGAACGCUAGCGGCAGGCUUAACACAUGCAAGUCGAGGGGCAGCGGGUUGUAGCAAUACAAUGCCGGCGACCGGCGAAAGGGUGAGUAACGCGUGAGCAACAUGCCCGGUACUGGAGGAUAGUCGAUGGAAACGUCGCGUAAUACUCCGUAACAACAGGGACCGCAUGAUCCUUGUUUAAGAGAUUUAUUGAUACCGGAUUGGCUCGCGUGCCAUUAGCUAGUUGGCGGGGUAACGGCCCACCAAGGCGACGAUGGCUAGGGGUUCUGAGAGGAAGGUCCCCCACAUUGGAACUGAGACACGGUCCAGACUCCUACGGGAGGCAGCAGUGAGGAAUAUUGGUCAAUGGCCGAGAGGCUGAACCAGCCAUGCCGCGUGCCGGGAGGACGGCCCUAUGGGUUGUAAACCGCUUUUGUUGGGGAGCAAUAAGGGUCACGUGUGACCUGAUGAGAGUACCCAGCGAAUAAGCAUCGGCUAACUCCGUGCCAGCCGCCGC
RNAcentral lists this ribosomal RNA (510 nucleotides) under uncultured bacterium. Its description in RNAcentral is "bacterial SSU rRNA". It matches the Rfam family "Bacterial small subunit ribosomal RNA", at positions 15 to 518 of the family's 1533-position model. The record is from RNAcentral.